Molecule: ribosomal RNA, 254 nt
Filed under: uncultured bacterium
Lineage: Bacteria
Description: partial 16S ribosomal RNA
Rfam family: Bacterial small subunit ribosomal RNA
Source: RNAcentral
CACGUAGGGGGCGAGCGUUGUCCGGAAUCAUUGGGCGUAAAGAGCUCGUAGGCGGCUCAGUAAGUCGGGUGUGAAACCCUCAGGCUCAACCUGGGGACGCCACCCGAUACUGCUGUGGCUAGAGUCCAGUAGGGGAGUGUGGAAUUCCCGGUGUAGCGGUGAAAUGCGCAGAUAUCGGGAGGAACACCAAUGGCGAAGGCAGCUCGCUGGGACGGUACUGACGCUGAGGCGCGAAAGCGUGGGGAGCAAACAGG